GCUGGUGCACAGGUGGUGCAUGGCUGUCGUCAGCUCGUGUCGUGAGAUGAUGGGUUAAGUCCCGCAACGAGCGCAACCCUCGUUCCAUGUUGCCAGCGCGUAAUGGCGGGGACUCAUGGGAGACUGCCGGGGUCAACUCGGAGGAAGGUGGGGAUGAGGUCAAGUCAUCAUGCCCCUUAUGUCCAGGGCUUCACACAUGCUACAAUGGCCGGUACAGAGGGCUGSGAAGCCGCGAGGUGGAGCGAAUCUCACAAAGCCGGUCUCAGUUCGGAUCGGGGUCUGCAACUCGACCCCGUGAA
This 299-nucleotide ribosomal RNA is filed under the name uncultured Actinomycetes bacterium. Its description in RNAcentral is "uncultured actinobacterium partial 16S ribosomal RNA". It matches the Rfam family "Bacterial small subunit ribosomal RNA", at positions 1026 to 1324 of the family's 1533-position model. The record is from RNAcentral. Lineage: Bacteria; Bacillati; Actinomycetota; Actinomycetes.